Molecule: long non-coding RNA, 325 nt
Organism: Dermacentor albipictus
Lineage: Eukaryota; Metazoa; Arthropoda; Arachnida; Ixodida; Ixodidae
Source: RefSeq, a predicted model, not a curated record
UGGCGAUCAUCGUUCAAAUAUCAAUGCUUUGUUGGUUGUUGCUCUCGGUGUCCUGCAUCCCGGGAAGCGAUGCGGCUGAACGAUCUGCGUGGGGCUCUUUUAUUCCAGCAAGCCGUGGACUUGCUAAAGUGAGAUUGCCACGGGCAACAAAGGACAAAUCAGGCGUGGUCCUGCGCUUUGGAGGUUAAGCAGGCCAGCCUUCCCGAAAACGAACAGUCCAGAGGCAGCAGCGCCCUGUGAAGUGCAAUAUUUGUAAGGUAUUGUGCGACAGCUUUCAACGAACGUGCAACAAUAAAGGUGUCACUGCAUUUACUGCAAACGCUAC